Molecule: ribosomal RNA, 2905 nt
Filed under: Enterobacter hormaechei
Lineage: Bacteria; Pseudomonadati; Pseudomonadota; Gammaproteobacteria; Enterobacterales; Enterobacteriaceae
Description: 23S ribosomal RNA
Rfam family: Bacterial large subunit ribosomal RNA
Source: RNAcentral
GGUUAAGCGACUAAGCGUACACGGUGGAUGCCCUGGCAGUCAGAGGCGAUGAAGGACGUGCUAAUCUGCGAAAAGCGCCGGCGAGGUGAUAUGAACCCUUGACCCGGCGAUGUCCGAAUGGGGAAACCCAGUGUGUUCCGACACACUAUCGUUAACUGAAUACAUAGGUUAACGAGGCGAACCGGGGGAACUGAAACAUCUAAGUACCCCGAGGAAAAGAAAUCAACCGAGAUUCCCCCAGUAGCGGCGAGCGAACGGGGAGCAGCCCGGAGUCUGAAUCAGCUUGUGUGUUAGUGGAACGGUCUGGAAAGUCCGACGGUACAGGGUGAUAGUCCCGUACACGAAAAUGCACAGGUUGUGAACUCGAAGAGUAGGGCGGGACACGUGGUAUCCUGUCUGAAUAUGGGGGGACCAUCCUCCAAGGCUAAAUACUCCUGACUGACCGAUAGUGAACCAGUACCGUGAGGGAAAGGCGAAAAGAACCCCGGCGAGGGGAGUGAAAAAGAACCUGAAACCGUGUACGUACAAGCAGUGGGAGCCUCUUUAUGGGGUGACUGCGUACCUUUUGUAUAAUGGGUCAGCGACUUAUAUUCUGUAGCAAGGUUAACCGUAUAGGGGAGCCGAAGGGAAACCGAGUCUUAACUGGGCGUUAAGUUGCAGGGUAUAGACCCGAAACCCGGUGAUCUAGCCAUGGGCAGGUUGAAGGUUGGGUAACACUAACUGGAGGACCGAACCGACUAAUGUUGAAAAAUUAGCGGAUGACCUGUGGCUGGGGGUGAAAGGCCAAUCAAACCGGGAGAUAGCUGGUUCUCCCCGAAAGCUAUUUAGGUAGCGCCUCGUGAACUCAUCUUCGGGGGUAGAGCACUGUUUCGGCUAGGGGGCCAUCCCGGCUUACCAACCCGAUGCAAACUACGAAUACCGAAGAAUGUUAUCACGGGAGACACACGGCGGGUGCUAACGUCCGUCGUGAAGAGGGAAACAACCCAGACCGCCAGCUAAGGUCCCAAAGUCAUGGUUAAGUGGGAAACGAUGUGGGAAGGCACAGACAGCCAGGAUGUUGGCUUAGAAGCAGCCAUCAUUUAAAGAAAGCGUAAUAGCUCACUGGUCGAGUCGGCCUGCGCGGAAGAUGUAACGGGGCUAAACCAUGCACCGAAGCUGCGGCAGCGACACUAUGUGUUGUUGGGUAGGGGAGCGUUCUGUAAGCCGUUGAAGGUGUGCUGUGAGGCAUGCUGGAGGUAUCAGAAGUGCGAAUGCUGACAUAAGUAACGAUAAAGCGGGUGAAAAGCCCGCUCGCCGGAAGACCAAGGGUUCCUGUCCAACGUUAAUCGGGGCAGGGUGAGUCGACCCCUAAGGCGAGGCCGAAAGGCGUAGUCGAUGGGAAACAGGUUAAUAUUCCUGUACUUGGUGUUACUGCGAAGGGGGGACGGAGAAGGCUAUGUCAGCCGGGCGACGGUUGUCCCGGUUUAAGCAUGUAGGCGGAGGUUCCAGGUAAAUCCGGUACCUUAUUAACGCUGAGGUGUGAUGACGAGGCACUACGGUGCUGAAGUGAUAAAUGCCCUGCUUCCAGGAAAAGCCUCUAAGCAUCAGGUAACACGAAAUCGUACCCCAAACCGACACAGGUGGUCAGGUAGAGAAUACCAAGGCGCUUGAGAGAACUCGGGUGAAGGAACUAGGCAAAAUGGUGCCGUAACUUCGGGAGAAGGCACGCUGAUAUGUAGGUGAAGUCCCUGCGGACGGAGCUGAAAUCAGUCGAAGAUACCAGCUGGCUGCAACUGUUUAUUAAAAACACAGCACUGUGCAAACACGAAAGUGGACGUAUACGGUGUGACGCCUGCCCGGUGCCGGAAGGUUAAUUGAUGGGGUUAGCGGCAACGCGAAGCUCUUGAUCGAAGCCCCGGUAAACGGCGGCCGUAACUAUAACGGUCCUAAGGUAGCGAAAUUCCUUGUCGGGUAAGUUCCGACCUGCACGAAUGGCGUAAUGAUGGCCAGGCUGUCUCCACCCGAGACUCAGUGAAAUUGAACUCGCUGUGAAGAUGCAGUGUACCCGCGGCAAGACGGAAAGACCCCGUGAACCUUUACUAUAGCUUGACACUGAACACUGGUCCUUGAUGUGUAGGAUAGGUGGGAGGCUUUGAAGCGUGGACGCCAGUCUGCGUGGAGCCGCCCUUGAAAUACCACCCUUUAAUGGCUGGUGUUCUAACGUAGACCCGUAAUCCGGGUUGCGGACAGUGUCUGGUGGGUAGUUUGACUGGGGCGGUCUCCUCCCAAAGAGUAACGGAGGAGCACGAAGGUUGGCUAAUCCUGGUCGGACAUCAGGAGGUUAGUGCAAUGGCAUAAGCCAGCUUGACUGCGAGCGUGACGGCGCGAGCAGGUGCGAAAGCAGGUCAUAGUGAUCCGGUGGUUCUGAAUGGAAGGGCCAUCGCUCAACGGAUAAAAGGUACUCCGGGGAUAACAGGCUGAUACCGCCCAAGAGUUCAUAUCGACGGCGGUGUUUGGCACCUCGAUGUCGGCUCAUCACAUCCUGGGGCUGAAGUAGGUCCCAAGGGUAUGGCUGUUCGCCAUUUAAAGUGGUACGCGAGCUGGGUUUAGAACGUCGUGAGACAGUUCGGUCCCUAUCUGCCGUGGGCGCUGGAGAAUUGAGGGGGGCUGCUCCUAGUACGAGAGGACCGGAGUGGACGCAUCACUGGUGUUCGGGUUGUCAUGCCAAUGGCACUGCCCGGUAGCUAAAUGCGGAAGAGAUAAGUGCUGAAAGCAUCUAAGCACGAAACUUGCCCCGAGAUGAGUUCUCCCUGAGACUUUAAGUCUCCUGAAGGAACGUUGAAGACGACGACGUUGAUAGGUCGGGUGUGUAAGCGCAGCGAUGCGUUGAGCUAACCGAUACUAAUGAACCGUGAGGCUUAACCUU